GGAACAGCAGCGCUCGGCUCUGCAUCACGGUGCCCAUGCCUUUAGACAAUGCCACCAUCACCCCCAGUGUCCUGGAGGUGACACCGCUGGAGACAGGGACACACAGCGACACAGUGGCCGCAGGCGUCAGUGGG
Melospiza melodia melodia is the source of this 134-nucleotide long non-coding RNA. RefSeq lists it as uncharacterized. The record is from RefSeq and is a predicted model, not a curated record. NCBI's taxonomy places the organism in Eukaryota, Metazoa, Chordata, Aves, Passeriformes, Passerellidae. The transcript has 3 exons.